RNAcentral lists this ribosomal RNA (473 nucleotides) under uncultured bacterium. RNAcentral describes it as "bacterial SSU rRNA". It matches the Rfam family "Bacterial small subunit ribosomal RNA", at positions 1 to 507 of the family's 1533-position model. The record is from RNAcentral.
AGUAGUUUGAUCCUGGCUCAGGAUAGACGCUGGCGGCGUGCCUAACACAUGCAAGUCGAGCGAUUCUCUUCGGAGAAGAGCGGCGGACGGGUGAGUAACGCGUGGGUAACCUGCCCUGUACACACGGAUAACAUACCGAAAGGUAUGCUAAUACGAGAUAAUAUGCUUUUAUCGCAUGGUAGAAGUAUCAAAGCUUUUGCGGUACAGGAUGGACCCGCGUCUGAUUAGCUAGUUGGUAAGGUAACGGCUUACCAAGGCGACGAUCAGUAGCCGACCUGAGAGGGUGAUCGGCCACAUUGGAACUGAGACACGGUCCAAACUCCUACGGGAGGCAGCAGUGGGGAAUAUUGCACAAUGGGCGAAAGCCUGAUGCAGCAACGCCGCGUGAGCGAUGAAGGCCUUCGGGUCGUAAAGCUCUGUCCUCAAGGAAGAUAAUGACGGUACUUGAGGAGGAAGCCCCGGCUAACUACGUG